UGAGGAAUUUUCCGCAAUGGGCGAAAGCCUGACGGAGCGACGCCGUGUGGGUGAUGAAGGUUUUCGGAUCUUAAAGCCCUGUCAGCGAGGACGAUAUCGACUGUACUCGCAGAGGAAGCCCCGGCUAACUACGUGCCAGCAGCCGCGGUAAUACGUAGGGGGCGAACGUUGUCCGGAAUUAUUGGGCGUAAAGCGCAUGUAGGCGGUUUUAUAAGUCAGAUGUAAAAUCCCCGGGCUCAACCCGGGUUCGCAUUUGAUACUGUAGAGCUAGAGUAAUGUAGAGGAAAGCGGAACUUCCGGUGUAGCGGUGAAAUGCGUAGAUAUCGGAAGGAACACCAGUGGCGAAGGCGGCUUUCUGGACAUUUUCUGACGCUGAGAUGCGAAAGUUAAGGGAGCAAACGGG
RNAcentral lists this ribosomal RNA (403 nucleotides) under uncultured bacterium. RNAcentral's name for it is "bacterial SSU rRNA". It matches the Rfam family "Bacterial small subunit ribosomal RNA", at positions 355 to 776 of the family's 1533-position model. The record is from RNAcentral.